This 1661-nucleotide unclassified non-coding RNA is filed under the name uncultured fungus. RNAcentral's name for it is "sequence contains 18S rRNA gene, ITS1, 5.8S rRNA gene, ITS2, 28S rRNA gene". The stretch from base 737 to 1661 matches the Rfam family "Eukaryotic large subunit ribosomal RNA", at positions 1 to 961 of the family's 3401-position model. The record is from RNAcentral. Lineage: Eukaryota; Fungi.
GGAAGGAUCAUUGAAUCUAUCAAUACCAACACUGAGAACUAUUCUGUCUGGCCCCCUUGAUUUCUCUUGGCCUCAAAACCAGUUGAAUUCAUGCGGCGCUCCUGUCGGUUUACUCGGACAGGUGGCGGUCUCGUGAUUGCUCGAGUGUGUCUGGCGGAGCCUCACCGCUCCUCCAUUCCUCUCGUUCAUGUUCGGGUCGGUCUUAUAUUAACCUAAAAACCAAACCAAACCUUACUGAAGUAUAAAUGCGGUCGGCCUAGCCGCUGUAUUAAACUGAGACAACUCUCAACAACGGAUAUCUUGGCUCUCGUAACGAUGAAGAACGCAGCGAAAUGCGAUACGUAGUGUGAAUUGCAGAAUUCCGUGAAUCAUCAAAUCUUUGAACGCAUAUUGCGCUCGAGGCUUCGGCCGAGAGCAUGUCUGCCUCAGCGUCGGGUUAAUAUCAAUCAAAUUCAUUUACACUCGUUGUAAAGCGAACGAGAUUGGAUCUGGCUGUCCCACCGUUGUUGUUGGUUUAUUUAUCCGCUCUAACCUUUCACGAGGUUAGGUGCGCGUUAGAUCUGCCAGCGGCGUCAUAAUGAUGGGUCAGCUGAAGAAUAGAGGAUGGCGCAAAGGACCCGUUAUAACGGGCCGCAAUCGGGUAGGCAGCUCUUGCUCGCUAUAUCUACGUUGUUGGCACCAAGGGUCUAGUCGCUUUCCUUCUAAAGCAGGAAUUUAUUCCAUUAACCUAUUUUCUCGACCUGAGCUCAGGCAAGAACACCCGCUGAACUUAAGCAUAUCAAUAAGCGGAGGAAAAUAAACUAACAAGGAUUGGCCUAGUAACGGCGAGUGAAACGCCAAUAGCCCAACUUGAAAAUCUUCCUUUGAAGAAUUGUAGUCUAGAGAAGCGCCCUCUGCGGCGGCCGGAGCCUAAGUCCGCUGGAAGGCGGCGUCAAAGAGGGUGAUAACCCCGUCGGCUCUAGGCUUAGCUGUUCCACGAGGUGCUUUCCACGAGUCGUAUUGUUUGGGAAUGCAGUACAAAAUGGGAGGUAAAUCCCUUCUAAGGCUAAAUACUGACGAGAGACCGAUAGCGAACAAGUACCGUGAGGGAAAGAUGAAAAGAACUUUGAAAAGAGAGUUAACAGUGCUUGAAAUUGUUGAGAGGGAAGCGUUUGAAAGGUGUAGCUGCGCUCAGGCUUAUGCGUUUCUAACGAGCCGCUGUAUGUACUGAGUGCUGGUCAGCAUGGAUUAGAUCGGCGGGAUAACAACGGGGGUUGAAACCUCGUCUAUGCCGCCGGCUUGAUCAAGGUGUGAAUGACGCUCGGUCCUUUGGAACUGCGUCAUCAAGAUGCUGGCAGAAGCUUUUCAAACGGCCCGUCUUGAAACACGGACCGAGGAGUCUAACAUGUGUGCGAGUUGGUGGGUUGUAAACCCAUGAAGCGCAAGUAACCUGACUGGUGGGACGGCGCAAGCCUGCACCAUCGACCGACCAUGAGCUUAUGCGAAAGGUUUGAGUGCGAGCAUACCUGUUGGGACCCGAAAGAUGGUGAACUAUGCCUGAGCAGGGUGAAGCCAGAGGAAACUCUGGUGGAGGCUCGUAGAUGUGCUGACGUGCAAAUCGCUUUUCGGACUUGGGUAUAGGGGCGAAAGACUAAUCGAACCAUCUAGUAGCUGGUUCCCUC